UUCCGCAGAUGAUAGAUCUUAUUCGAGAGAGUUUGGAACCCUAUUUUCCUUCCCAAUUGUUUGACCACGACCGUACGAGACAUACUCUGAUAUAGUAUCUGGUGAACCCUGUUAGAGAAACGAUAAAGGGUAGACCAUCCUCUAUUCCCGUAGUCACAUCAUCAUUAAGAAGCUAUAGAUCAUCCUUAUGUUGUUCAUGCAUACUAUCCCCAU
Molecule: long non-coding RNA, 213 nt
Filed under: Gossypium barbadense (sea-island cotton)
Lineage: Eukaryota; Viridiplantae; Streptophyta; Magnoliopsida; Malvales; Malvaceae
Description: long non-coding RNA (GBAR_LNC012388)
Source: RNAcentral